AUGGUGCAAUAUGCCUGGAACCGCCCAACAACAACACGAUGCGCUUUUGCGAGGCUACAUGAGAAAAUGAGAAGGGUAGCUAUGGAUCUCAAAAUCUGGAGCAAAUCUCAGUUUGGAGGGGCCAAGCUUCAUAUGCACAUUGCAACAGAAGUCGUCCUACGCCUAGAUGUUGCUCAAGAAACUAGAGCCCUCUCUGACGCAGAAUUUCACAUUAGGAAAAUGCUUAAACUCAAAAUCUUAGGCCUUGCUGCAAUUGAUCGAGCACGGAAGCGCCAGGCAUCUAGGAUUACUUGGCUGCGUGCUGGAGACGCGCCAACCGCCUUCUUCCAAGCGAAGAUAAAUGCCAGGAGACGGAAAGCAUUCAUCCACAUGCUCCACGGUCCGUCCGGUGUAGUCACCAGGCAAGAGGACAAGGAAACCUUGAUCUACGACCACUUUUCCUCUUUGCUGGGCACGGCAACACACCGCGGCACAACCAUUGGCUGGCGCUCACUUGACAUGCCCAGGCUGCAGGGUGGAGGACUGGACAACCCAUUCACGGAGGAUGAGGUGUGGAGUGCUAUCAAGGCGUCACCGGCAGAUCGAGCGCCGGGCCCGGACGGCUUCUCUGGCACCUUCUUCAGGGCAUGCUGGGCAACUAUCAAAGACGACAUCAUGGCUGCGUUCAAUCAGUUUUACAACUUAGUAGGCAGCAAUUUUGGAGCUCUCAACACCGCGGUCGUCGCACUACUGCCAAAGAAAGACGGAGCGACGACAAUCAACGACUACAGGCCAAUUAGCCUCAUCCACUCCAUAGCAAAGCUCAUAUCCAAAGUACUUUCCCUCAGGCUUGCUAGUGUGAUCCACACGCUCAUCUCGCCAGCGCAGUCGGCUUUUCUUAGGACUAAGUGCAUUCACGAUAGCUUCCUAUAA
This 912-nucleotide ribosomal RNA is filed under the name Triticum aestivum (bread wheat). RNAcentral describes it as "partial small subunit ribosomal RNA". The record is from RNAcentral. Lineage: Eukaryota; Viridiplantae; Streptophyta; Magnoliopsida; Poales; Poaceae.